Molecule: ribosomal RNA, 253 nt
Filed under: uncultured bacterium
Lineage: Bacteria
Description: partial 16S ribosomal RNA
Rfam family: Bacterial small subunit ribosomal RNA
Source: RNAcentral
UACAGAGGGUGCAAACGUUGUUCGGAAUUACUGGGCGUAAAGCGUGUGUAGGCGGCCCUGCAAGUCGGAUGUGAAAGCCCCGGGCUCAACCCGGGAAGUGCACCCGAAACUGCAGGGCUCGAGUACCGGAGAGGUUGGUGGAAUUCUCGGUGUAGAGGUGAAAUUCGUAGAUAUCGAGAGGAACACCGGUGGCGAAGGCGGCCAACUGGACGAGUACUGACGCUGAGACACGAAAGCGUGGGGAGCAAACAGG